ACUCCUACGGGAGGCAGCAGUGGGGAAUAUUGCACAAUGGGGAAAGACCCUGUGCAGCCAUGCCGCGUGUGUGAAGAAGGCCUUCGGGUUGUAAAGCACUUUCAGUAGGGGAGGAAGGUAGUGUAGUUAACACCUGCAUUAUUUGACGUUACCUACAGAAGAAGCACCGGCUAACUCCGUGCCAGCAGCCGCGGUAAUACGGAGGGUGCGAGCGUUAAUCGGAAUUACUGGGCGUAAAGCGCAUGCAGGCGGCCUGUUAAGUCAGAUGUGAAAGCCCGGGGCUUAACCUCGGAAUUGCAUUUGAAACUGGCAGGCUAGAGUCUUGUAGAGGGGGUA
Molecule: ribosomal RNA, 336 nt
Filed under: uncultured bacterium
Lineage: Bacteria
Description: bacterial SSU rRNA
Rfam family: Bacterial small subunit ribosomal RNA
Source: RNAcentral